Molecule: non-coding RNA, 154 nt
Filed under: Nelumbo nucifera (sacred lotus)
Lineage: Eukaryota; Viridiplantae; Streptophyta; Magnoliopsida; Proteales; Nelumbonaceae
Description: Bacterial small subunit ribosomal RNA
Rfam family: Bacterial small subunit ribosomal RNA
Source: Rfam by way of RNAcentral
CUUGUACACACCGCCCGUCACACCAUGGGAGUGGGUUCUGCCAGAAGUAGGUAGCCUAACCGCAAGGAGGGCGCUUACCACGGCAGGGUUCAUGACUGGGGUGAAGUCGUAACAAGGUAGCCGUAGGGGAACCUGCGGCUGGAUCACCUCCUUU